RNAcentral lists this non-coding RNA (51 nucleotides) under Heterosigma akashiwo. The record is from RNAcentral. Lineage: Eukaryota; Raphidophyceae; Chattonellales; Chattonellaceae.
AACAUCACGGAACGGCGAGGUGCCCUUCCUGUGGGAAGCCCUUCCCUGCUC